GAUGGUUUGGAUGCUUUUUAUUCACUGUCUUAUUUGUGGUUUGACGCCGUGGGACUUUUAUGUCUAUUACUGGUAGCCGCUGUAGCAAGCUUUUUUCUGGGUCGGCAGAAGAUGGAGGAUUCGGACAGUCGUUACUUGUUCAGUUUUGGGGACAGAAUAUGUCCCUGUCUACCUGAGAAUAUCAAGCAAGUUGUCUGCUGUGGAAAUAGUUUAGAAAAGAAACGCCACAAUGAGGUGUACAUGACAUCGAGGGAGCAGGACACAGCCAGUUCUGACAGUGCACAGUUACGACGUCUACUAGACACAAAGCAGGAUUGUUAAUGGAUCCAGUGGAUGGACGUCUAUCGCAAUCUCCCUUUGGUGCUUGAGCAGUACCUCUCUGAUUUGGCAAAAUAAUCAUAACAUGAAUACUGUAAUAUCCAUCUUAAUCAAGGUUAUAUAAUCUGUACUUCAGUAUGUGUCGAACCGGAAUACCUGAAGUGACUCUUCACUAACUAAGUUAGAAAAUGGUAACAACCAGUAUAAUUUAUUUUUAUUUUUCAAAAUUCAGAUUGAUAUCAGGAAACAAAAUCACGUUAACGACCUGCAUUAAUGUUGGUACCAGUUUAAAAAAUAACGUAAGCAACCUAUUCUGAAGUUGAAACGACUACAAAGUCACGUAUAAAUCUAAACAUUGUCGCUGUGGUGGUGGGAGAGAUUGUGUCAAUAAACCAGGCAGUGCUAUAUAUCCUUCUACUAUCGUCGUCAUUACUAAAAAUUGAUAAAUAUUCAACGCCUGCGUGCUAAUUUCAACAAAAUAUCUCCUGUGCCUUCCCCUUUUUCAAGAACACUUGGCUGGCGAAGAUGGGUUUGAAUCGUUGAUAUAUCGUAUGGUCAUUACCACGAGCAGAUACUUCCAGUGCUUGAAAUGUUUCAAGAUAGAAAGCUGUGUUAGAUCGCAGGUGAGAGGUAUGCUUCUCUUCAUACCGACAGGAGACAGCAUGACUGGUACCACAAGUGUGCUGUGAAACGAUUCUACCUGGGUACUUGGUUUAACUUAUAUAUUUUAGGUUUAUAAAUACUUUUCCCUUUUGUAUUUUUUA
This is a long non-coding RNA of Mizuhopecten yessoensis (Yesso scallop), 1082 nucleotides long. RefSeq lists it as uncharacterized. The transcript has 3 exons. The record is from RefSeq and is a predicted model, not a curated record. NCBI's taxonomy places the organism in Eukaryota, Metazoa, Mollusca, Bivalvia, Pectinida, Pectinidae.